Molecule: RNase P RNA, 199 nt
Filed under: Acidiferrobacteraceae bacterium
Lineage: Bacteria; Pseudomonadati; Pseudomonadota; Gammaproteobacteria; Acidiferrobacterales; Acidiferrobacteraceae
Description: partial RNase P RNA component class A
Rfam family: Bacterial RNase P class A
About the family: Ribonuclease P (RNase P) is a ubiquitous endoribonuclease, found in archaea, bacteria and eukarya as well as chloroplasts and mitochondria.
Source: RNAcentral
GUGAAAAGGUGCGGUAAGAGCGCACCGCGUUCGCGGUAACGGGGACGGCAGGGUAAACCCCACCCGGAGCAAGACCAAAUAGGGACCCUUACGCGCGGCCCGCGCUGGGUCCGGGUAGGUCGCUUGAGGUGUGCGGUGACGUACGUCCCAGAUGAAUGGUUGCCCUUGACAGAACCCGGCUUACAGGCCGACUCCAAUU